Molecule: RNA transcript, 4538 nt
Organism: Gavialis gangeticus (Gharial)
Lineage: Eukaryota; Metazoa; Chordata; Crocodylia; Gavialidae
Gene: SLC19A1
Gene name: solute carrier family 19 member 1
Exons: 7
Source: RefSeq, a predicted model, not a curated record
GUGCAAUCAAGAAUUCACAAGGUGAGGAUUUCCUAACACCUCCAGUCGGCAGUGUCAUUUGGAUUAGGUCCUAAAUAUAGGAAAUUCCUACAGCGCAGGCAUCUAUGUGUUGGAAACUAUGUACAGCAAGUAAGAGACCAGCCCCACAGAGGCUCAGCCGGUCUGACAGCCUCCCGGAAAAAGACUUUCACAUUCAGGUACUGGAGUAGGGAGACAGAGCCAUGUCUACAGAAGAUGAUGGCUCGACAAAACAACCAGUGGAGCCAGCACCAGCUCAGCGCUGGAAACUCCAAGUAUUUUACCUCUGCUUUUAUGGCUUCAUGACCCAGCUCAGACCUGGAGAGAGCUUCAUCACCCCAUACUUGUUGGGAGCUGAUAAGAAUUUCACAAGAGAACAGGUGACUAAUGAGAUCACUCCAGUCCUGUCGUACUCCUACAUGGUGGUGCUGGUACCCAUCUUCCUGCUGACAGACUACCUGCGCUACAAGCCGGUGCUGAUGCUCCAGAGCCUGAGCUACAUCUCCAUUUGGCUGAUCCUGAUCUUCGGCACCACCAUCCUCACUAUGCAGUUCAUGGAGUUAUUCUAUAGCAUCACCAUGGCAGCCCGUGUGGCCUAUUCUUCUUACGUUUUCUCUCUGGUCACCCCAUCACUCUAUCAGCGCAUGGCUAGCUACUCCAGGUCUGCUGUGUUGAUGGGCGUCUUCACCAGCUCAGUGCUGGGGCAGCUCUGUGUCACAGUUGGUGGGGUGCCCUUCAUGACACUGAACUAUAUCUCCCUGGGCUUCACAGUCUUUGGGCUCUUCAUAACACUGUUCCUGGAGCGGCCUAGGCGGAGUCUCUUCUUCAACAGGGCUGAGCCAGUGUGUAAUAGCACUUCCCCUUCGGAGCUGGACAAGAUGAGCCCAGAUAACUACAAGCACACCACAUGCCUGCCUUCCUGCUGGCGUGAUGCUGCCCUCUGCCGCAUGCUGCGGGAGCUGGGGACCAUUGUCCAGCAGCCCCAGCUGCGGCUUUGGUCGUUCUGGUGGAUAUUCAACUCUGCCGGCUACUACCUAAUGCUGUAUUAUGUGCAGAUUUUGUGGGAUGUUGUUUAUCCAGCCAAAGAUAACCGGAAAGUCUACAAUGGCGGGGUGGAUGCUGCCUCAACAUUACUUGGUGCCAUUGCAUCCUUUGCUGCCGGCUUUGUGAAGAUCCGCUGGAAGCUGUGGUCAGAGCUGGUGAUCGGGACUGUGACAGCAGUCCAGGCAGGGCUUCUCCUGCUGAUGACCUCCACCAGUAACAUCUGGCUGUGCUAUGUGGCAUAUGUGCUGUUCAGGGGCUCCUAUCAGUUCCUGGUUCCCUUAGCAAUAUUCCAGAUUGCCACCUCCCUCUCCAAGGAGCUCUGUGCCCUCGUGUUUGGCAUCAACACCUUCUUUGCCACCAUUCUGAAGACCAUUAUAACCAUUAUCAUAGCAGAUAAGAGAGGCCUGGGCCUGUCUGUGCAUCCUCAGUUCUACGUGUACUUCUCCUACUUCACGCUGCUGGCAGUGCUGUACCUCACAGCAGCAGUGUAUGUGAGCAUCCAGCACAGAAGACGCAAGAAGCCCCAGGAGCCAGCAUUGGCCAAGGAGCUAUGCAAGCCUCUGGAUGAAGUGCCAGUGAAGGAGAAGACCUCAGAGCUGAGCAGUGUGGAAGCCUGAGAGAAGCUAUGAGUGAACAAAAGGGGAAGGGGCCUGUCUGUAUGUGCCCCGCCCUCACUGUUGCCCCAGGGAACCAUGUGUGCCCCACCAAGAUAUUUUUGCCUCCCUCUGAACAUCAGCACCCGGCAGGGAAGAUGAGGACCAGAGAGGCCUGGGUGACAGUGAAUGCCCUGCACAGGCUGCACCUGCACAAAGCCCACAGCCUGAUUGCCAGGGGCUGUCUCUCCAGGGAUGCCUGCACUCGCUUCACACCUCAGUGCUGGCUGACACUGCUAUACGGAGUGAAGGUUUAAAAACAGCUGUUGGUAACAGAGCUGUUUCCAACUGAACCAGCUGGGCUUCCAGGCCCUGGCUCAGAGCUGGUUUAGGCAGCUGCCUGCUGGGUAGAGGGAGCUUUCCUGGUGAUUUUUGCACCAGUAGACAGACAGACACACAUGCAGUGUCUUCCCCUCCCUGUCUCACGCUGCUCUUUCAGUGUGACCAGCCCCACACCCCCAGAUGAUUAUUUCAAUUUCAGCCAGUGCUGUUUUGUUGGAAUGACACUGGCACAGGUAUUUGUUAUAAGCCUUAAGCAGUCAUGCUCGCGAGGUCCUCUCCCCAGCACCACAAGUGCUAGCAGUACUUCUUUUUUAACUUUUCCCUUAACAUGUAUAAAUCCCCUGGCUGCCUUAGCCUCAUCCAAGUGCUACAAGGCAAGAGGGGCCUGUAGCCACAUAUCACCUGGGGUGAGGAUUGCAGUAAAGUGAUAAGUUGCCCUUGCAGACCUGGCUGUUUUUGUAGGUAGCUGGUGGUGGGAGUGCACAUGAGUGCUGAGGGCUGGCUUCUGCUGCUGGAAAGGCAGCGCUAACCCAGCGCCUCCCUUUGCUGGCUGCUCUGUGGCAUGAGUGCAAGAGCCUGGUGCUGCUUGUUGAACCUGGUCAGCAUGAGGGGCUUACAAGGCCCUGUGAUCCCGGGUUGGCUCUGGCCAGGUAUGGGAUUGUCCAACAGGCACGAUCCUUUCCACCUGUGUGUGGUGAGUAGCUGCUGUAAUUAAUCCCUUUGCGCAGGGGUUGGCAACCUUUUUCUCUGGGUCAUAGCUUGUGACCUGGCCUCCUGCUGUGGGCUGUAGAUCUCUGAUUUUCCCUCCAUCCUUACCUUGCUGCAGAUACCCAGCCCCUCUGUAGGGAGGGUAAGCAGAUAUGAAGGCAUGUGAGGGCAGCAGGGAGAGCAACAGAGGGAUCUGGUGCCUAAGCCACUAGGUUCUGGUCCAGGAGCUCAUUGGUUUUCCUUCCUGGUCUGUCUCUUUAGGUAAGACUGAGGCAGUGCCACCCUGAUUGUGGUACAGCUCUUUAUGUCACAAAGACACUAGUGUCUCUUGGUUGACUUCCCAUGCCCCCUUUCCCAAGCCCCAAUUCAAGCCCCAGGCAGGAGAGCCCUUGCAGUCAAAUUGCAUAAAGUGACUUGGAGACCCCCUAGGCCCCAGCUCUGAACCCAGAUGGGAGAUCCUGAGAUGCCAGGACCCCACUGUAAGCAAGGGGAACUCUAUCAGCCCUGGGCCUACUCCCAUCUCUGUCCUUAGCAGAGGGGAGGUGUCACCCCACCCAGGGUCCAUCCACAGCUAUGAGAGACGGUGUGGUACCAACAGCAAUUUCAGUGUACACAGAGUAAAAGAGGAUACUUUCCUUUAUUCAGUGCCUUUAGAAAGUGGUUUAUAGAACACAACUGACAAAAAAAUAUAAAGAUCCACAGGCUUUAAAUUGCAUUAAUUACAUAAAAUACAGUAGACAAUGAGAAAUAGAAAUUGUGUGACUUGCACAGCUUUUAUGGUAAUAAUUUCAAUACAAUAAUAAAAAGCUAGUUAAAAAUUUAGCACCUCAGAUUUUCAAAACUGAUUUAAACAAUCUUUUAGACAUUAGUGCUCAACAAAUACGGUACAUAUGUAACAUGAAAGUGUGUUCAAGGUUUCUGGCUUUGAAGGGGAGCAUUUUCCCAGCUCUGGUGCUAACACAGGAUGCCCAGACAGUGGCCAACACAGUCAGUCAGUCACACACACACACACACUUGUGCACACACACACACACCACUCACAACUGUUAACUAUGGGAUUCAGUGCCCUGUGCUGCUGAAUGGAAAUCAGGAUGUGUUCUCUACCCAAAUCCCCCAUACAGGUCAUAAUCCAUUAUAUUCUCUUGUCCUUUUCUGUUCCUAAGUACCUUACAAGUUAUUCGUUAAUCUGAUCACUUAAACUUACCAAACAAAUGGCCUCUCCAGCCCAAUGCUAAGGAAUCAGAUGAGGAAACUAUAUGCAGGUUUGGGAGUAGCCUGUUCCUGCGCUGGUAUGAAAUCUCCCAUUGCUCUUAAUUAUCCCCUCAUGACAAAGGCACAGACUACCCAGGAUGUGGCAUGUCCCUACCAGAGCACGGACAGCACAUAUGAAGCCUGGCUUAGCAGGUAUCUGACUGGAAGCCAUGAUGUGUAGGCCUUUUGGGAGCAAUUCUUACACUAGCAUUAGAAGAACAGCACAGUGCAUCCUGCCUGUGUAGACACAGCAAACAGCUGUGUGCGUCUUGAACAACAAAAUCAGGCCCUGCAACAGGGCAAGCAAGGCAUGUAGCACCAGCUCCAGUACACUUGGAUUCUGGAUGCUGGAAUUAGAGCUCAGAUGGGAUAGGGAGCAGCACCUGCCCUAGAGACCAUGCAUCUUCAACUACCAAGACAACUGUGCUCAGGACAGCAGGUAGGGGCUAGGGGAAGGGAACCAGAGCCCCUAGCUAUGGGACAAACCACCAGAGAGCAGAUUUUGUCUGGAUGCUGAUAGACUUGGAAACCUCCCCCUUGUGGAACAAGGGGGUGGAAUGGAUGGAGAAAGGAAAGCAUGAA